RNAcentral lists this ribosomal RNA (616 nucleotides) under uncultured fungus. RNAcentral describes it as "eukaryotic LSU rRNA". It matches the Rfam family "Eukaryotic large subunit ribosomal RNA", at positions 24 to 664 of the family's 3401-position model. Lineage: Eukaryota; Fungi. The record is from RNAcentral.
CCCGCUGAACUUAAGCAUAUCAAUAAGCGGAGGAAAAGAAACCAACAGGGAUUGCCCCAGUAACGGCGAGUGAAGCGGCAACAGCUCAAAUUUGAAAUCUGGCCUUCUGGUCCGAAUUGUAAUUUGUAGAGGAUGCUUUUGGUUAGGUACCUUCCGAGUUCCUUGGAACAGGACGCCUUAGAGGGUGAGAGCCCCGUACGGUUGGAUACCGAGCCUCUGUAAAGCUCCUUCGACGAGUCGAGUAGUUUGGGAAUGCUGCUCUAAAUGGGAGGUAAAUUUCUUCUAAAGCUAAAUACCGGCCAGAGACCGAUAGCGCACAAGUAGAGUGAUCGAAAGAUGAAAAGCACUUUGAAAAGAGGGUUAAAUAGUACGUGAAAUUGUUGAAAGGGAAGGGCUUAUGACCAGACCUUUGCCUUGCGGAUCAUCCGGUGUUCUCACCGGUGCACUUCGCUUGGUUUAGGCCAGCAUCGAUUUCGGUAGGGGGAUAAAGACUUUAGUAAUGUGGCUCCUCCGGGAGUGUUAUAGACUAUUGUGUAAUACCUUUACUGGGAUCGAGGACCGCGCUUCGGCUAGGAUGCUGGCAUAAUGGUCAUCAACCACCCGUCUUGAAACACGG